Peromyscus maniculatus bairdii (prairie deer mouse) is the source of this 1015-nucleotide non-coding RNA. NCBI's taxonomy places the organism in Eukaryota, Metazoa, Chordata, Mammalia, Rodentia, Cricetidae. The record is from RefSeq and is a predicted model, not a curated record.
CACUGCUAUGCUUGGCUGUGGGGACGACAGUCAAGUCCUACUGCUUGAGUAGCAGGUACUUAUGGACUGGGUCAUCUCCAGGGCCUCACCAAGUGAAAGUUGUUGAGGCCCGCUAUCUGUCCGAAGAUUUCAAUAAUACGGUACUGGGUGGAAAACAUCAAUAAUAAAACCUAGAAAAAGUCAAAGCCGGAAAAACAGGGUAAGGCAGAGGCACCAAGCUGAGCUCUGUCUUCUCACUAAAGUCAAUAGACAGGGUCUGUCGGAAACAGACAGCAGCAACAUGACAGUUCUGGAAUGUGGAAGUGGGAACCCCACCCUGCAUAAACCCAGAAUCGAGGUUCCAUAAAACUGAGAUGCACUGAAGCCAACGGUACCAUGACCCCCUCCUUCGGAGCAUCCUGGUGACAUCUGGGUGAGCUCUUUGGAUUCAAAGCCACAAAGCGGAUGCCUCAAGAGGCCCCCAGUGAGAUGACAUUCAGCUUAUCUACAAAUAACCAGUGUGCACUUGGUACUGGGCAUGGACAUGUAGUGACUGCAGGCUGGUGCUGUGCCUACGGGGAGGGCCUUCCUGGCCGCAGUUCUCGGGUGGCAUGGAGUCUGGCUGGCAGUGAACAAGAAGGAUCGCAGGCAAGGCCCUUUGUACCUGGGAGGAGAGGGACCGUGAAGGACACAAACGGGGCGAGGGGACAAUGGCUAUCUGGACAGGAAGGUUGGAGAGGCCUUACUGGGAAGCCACCUAGAGCUGAGACCUCGAGGAGGAAGCACCAGCCUGCAACACCUUUAGGCUGUGCCUGAUCCUGCGGCCCCUAGGCGCCCACAGAAGGGGGGAGUUUCAGGGACCGGCCAGCUCUGGGGCUACCAGGUGCCAUGUAUGGAGAAAUCUGCAGCUCUCCAGCCGUCGGUGCGGAGACCACAUCUUCCACAGCCUAGGGGGCUCAUCCCUUUCUUAUUAUUUGUCUUUCCUAAUCAGAGGUUUAUGAAUGACCAAUUACACUCAGUGGUUAAUUGCCCUUCA